This 77-nucleotide transfer RNA is filed under the name Parascardovia denticolens F0305. RNAcentral's name for it is "tRNA-Pro". It matches the Rfam family "tRNA". Rfam says of the family: Transfer RNA (tRNA) molecules are approximately 80 nucleotides in length. Their secondary structure includes four short double-helical elements and three loops (D, anti-codon, and T loops). Lineage: Bacteria; Bacillati; Actinomycetota; Actinomycetes; Bifidobacteriales; Bifidobacteriaceae. RNAcentral also lists the same sequence under 4 other names. The record is from RNAcentral.
CGGGCCAUAGCGCAGCUUGGUAGCGCACUUGACUGGGGGUCAAGGGGUCGCGGGUUCAAAUCCCGCUGGCCCGACGA